AAGAUCAGUUUGGCAUCUUCUUUUAAAAAAUUGUGAACAAAUCUUUCCAUUUAAAGCCCUACCCUAUUCCACCCUUCUAUCCAGAAAUACAAUUCCUAAGCUUUUCUGAGGUUCUAAAAUAGAACUGCCUCUCUCUCUUUCCCCUCUUUCUCCCUUUCUUCCUGCCUACCUCCUUUUCUUUCUCCCUUAUCUUCUCACUCCUUGGCUUAACUUUAAUCAAUCCAGCUUUCAGUUUCCAAAAGUGUUUUGAUAUCAUCAUCUGUUUUUGUCUCCUUUUUCAUUUUUGCUUGUGUAGUACGAUUUAAAAAAUAUAUAAAUAUACUGUCAUUUAAAUGGUGUUUCAGAAAGGAGUAGAGAUAAACACAGGUUUAAUCCACUGUAUUUUAAAAACCUCAUUUUAUGAUAUGACCACCCAUUCAAGAAUAUGUCUCCAUUUAUUUAAGUCAAAUCUACUAAUUAAAUUUAAUGUUUGUCUUCAUAGAGAUUAAAUGCAGCUUUUAUUAAGUUACAUUCUAAAUAAUGCAGUUUUUCCUUGUUAUUUAGAAUGAACUCUCUUUUUCCUUUCUAUUUUCUACCUAGUUAUAACUUGGUGAUAUUACUUUAGUGUACUUAUAUCUGGAAAAUUUAUUAAACUCAUUGGUUCUAUAAUUUCUGCACUGGUUGUUUUAGAUUUCAUAGCAUAUAAUCAUUUUAUUCAAAUAAUAUUUUAUCUCUCUAUGUGUUUUAUUAAUCUAUUAUGUUUCUUUUUCUGUUUUUAUGUAUAAAAAUAUUCAAAAACAUUUAAAAUAAUAUUGGUAAUAAUUAAUAUCCUUAUUUGACCCCUAAUUUGGAAGGAAUACUUUUAGUAGAGUUCUAAUGGAUAUAAUAUGGACUUCUGUUUUGAAAUGUCAUUAUUUUUAGAAUGUAUUUUAAGACAAACUAAAAAACUGAAAAAAAACAUGUCCAAAGUUCACAGAAGCCAACUUUAAAGGGGCUCCAUCUGGACAUAUUUGGGACACUCAUGUCCCCAAUCAAAUAAAUAAUGAUAAAAAUGGGUUAUAACACACUGAUUUAAAAACAGUAAUCCAUAAGUCACAUCGAUACAUAAAUUAGAAAACAGAUGAUGGGAAAGUGCUUUUUUAUAGAAGAAUGCCUGCUAAUAAAUGUAGAAAGUAUAUGAGGAAUGGAAAAUUACUUUUAUUUACAAUAAAUCAAUUCAGGCAAUAGUCACCAGUUGAUGCUAAAAUUGUUGGGUAAAAAAAUAAAAAUAGAAAUAUAAUUAUCUUCUUUAAUAAAAAUAAAAUUAUAUGGAUCAAUUCACAGAUAACUUAUUAAUAAGAAAGAUACUUACAAAAUGGAGAAAUCUGGCAGCUACCAUCUUAACUAUAUGAUUAAAUUUCACAACACCAGUAAAGGACAGUGUCGCAUCACGUGCCUCCUAAUAUGUUGUACUUCAGAAGAGGAAAAGGUGCCUCUUUUGUUAUAUUCCUGACAAUAAUGUGUAACCUAAGUAGAAUCCUCAGACAAAUUUGAAAUGAGAGGAAGAGUCUGAAAAGCAACUGACCUAGACUCUUCCAAAAUGUCAGUGAUGUGGAAAAACUAAACAAAAGUAGGGAAUUUCUCUAACUGAAAAGAGAAUGAUGAUUGUUUGGAUCCUAAUUUUAAAAAGAAAACAAUAAAACAGCAAAACCAACAGAAGGUUAGAGUGCCUUGGAGACAAAUGGCAAAAGAAAUACAGAUUGUAAAUUAUAUGCAGUAUCAGUGUAAAGUUUCCUGAACAUGAUAAUUAUAUCAUCGCAGUUAUGUAGAGUGUCACUGUUUGGUGAUACAUACUGAAGUACAUAUGGAUCAAGUGCCAUGGACUUUUACAAGUAACUCUAAAAUGGUUCAGCAAAAGCAGUGUAUGUAUGCUGGUGGCUGCAGCUCCGAUUUGAUCCCUAACCUGGGAAUCUCCAUUUGCCGAGGGAGCGGCUAAAGAAAUGGCAAAAAGACAAAAAAAAAAAACUAGGAAAACAGAUGUAACUGCAACAUCCAGAGAUAAUCAUUUCAGUGCUUAUCCUUCCAGAUCGUUCUCUUUAGGGACAUCUGUUUUUUAGGUGAGUUCAUAUGGUAUAUGCCCCUUUACUUGAAAUUUUUUUCAUUAACAAUAUAUUGUGGACAUCUUUCCAGAUUAUUUAAUUUUCUUCUAGACUAUUAUUUUAAGUAGCUGUACAAUAUUGUGUAUUUGUUCCAUGACUUAUUCAAAUAGCUUCUGUUACUGAUUUAAUUUUUUUAUUUUACUAGUGUUCUUAUUACAUUGAUGAAAUAAAAUCUUUGGUCACAAUUUCUUUUAAAUAAAAAAUAUAAUAGCUAGAUCAAAGAGGUUGAAAUUUUAAAAUUUUUAUACGUAUUGCUUAACUGCUUUUUUAAAAAGUACUCUAUCUUGAAAUAGCUUAAUAUAAUUUUUAGAGAAAACCAAUAAAGAAAGUGGCUGGUUUAAAUACUGAGAACUCUACAUAAUCUCUUAGCAAUCUAUAACAUUGUUGGUUGAUUUUAUGAAGGUGAGAAUAAAUUAGUUAUUUCCUGCUAUCAUUAGGAAUAACAUUAAAAAUUUCCGGUAUAAAUUGAAAGUGAGAAAGAGCAUAAGACAUUUUACCAAUAUUAUAAAAGCUAUGAGUUUAUAUAGGAAACAAUUUGAUGAAUGUAGUCUUUCCUUCUUUUUUCCCAAAAUAGAGAUGUUUUUAUUAAUAUUCUAAAUAAUAAAAAUAACAUGAGCUCAUGUUGCAAGUCUGUUUUGCAAGUGGCUUUUAUAAAAGUCUUGCUAAAGUCUUCCCAUAUUACUACAUAGAUUUCCCUUACUCUGUAAUUCCCGAAUACUAUAUGGUAUGGUUAUAUCAUAUUUUAGUAAAUAAAUUCCUCAUUGGUAGUUAUUUAGAUUAUUUUUUACUCAGUUACAAAUAAUAAGUAUAUUUUUUGUCUUUUACAGACAUCCAUGUGCUUUAUUUAUUCCAUGAAAUAAAUAUAGCUGUAGCAGUAGAACUGUUAUUGAUAACAAUGUUUGAUAAAAUAUUUGAUAAAAUUGAUAUCAUUGUUAUUGAUAAAAUGAUAAAACUCUGAGUUCUGGAAUUAGAGCUUGAAUACUACCCUCCAUCACGGACAUGCUGUUUAACUUUGGCAAGCUAAUUGAUCUUACCAUUAAAAUGACAUGAAAUCUAAUGGUUGAGGAAUUCUGUAUCCUCUCCUAAUAAUGAAAUUCAUGUAAGGCAAUUACUUUGUACCUGUUGUACUUGGCACAUAGUAAGUGCUAAAAUAACCCUAUUGUUAACAUAAAUUUUUUCUUUAGUGAAUUUUCUGUUCAUUUCUUUUGGACAGUUUCCUUUUAUUUUAUUAAUUAAUUUUUGUAUCAAGAAUAUUUACUAGUGGAGUUCCUGUAGUGGCACAGCAGAAACAAAUCUGACUAGUACCCAUGAGGACACGGGUUUGAUCCCCGGCCUCCCCCAGUGGGUCAGGAAUCCAGCGUUGCCCUGAGCUGUGGUGUACAUUGCUGAUGGGACUUGAAUCCCGAGUUGCUGUGGUGGCGGUGUAGGCCAGCAGCUGUAGCUCUGAUUCGACCCCUAGCCUGGGAACUUCCAUGUGCCACAAAUGCAGCCUUUAAAAGAAAAAAAUCAAUAGUCCCUACUAUAAAUUAAAAAUAUUUUUUCUCAAUUUAUCAUGUCUAUAUUCUAGUUUAGUCAGAUAUGUUAGUCUUUUAUGAUUUCUGGUCUUAGUGUCAUGCUUAGAAAGGAAAUCUCUACUGCAAGAUUUUGUUAAUCCUGUAUUUUCAUCUAGAGAUCUUAGUUUUAUUUUCUAUGUUUAAAUAUUUUCCUCUUUUGUGUGUGGCUAGUACUGCUUCUCCUCCAUUCUCUCCUCUAUUCCCCCAAGGGACAUAUUGGAAAUGUUAGAGUCCUUUUUAAGUUAUCACCACAAUUGAGAAAGCACUACUGGUAUUCACUGGUCAGGAGCCAGGAAUGUCUGCCAGACUCCUUCUGUGCACAGAACUUCUCUCAGUAAAGAAUUUCCGCAUACUCUCAAUCUUACCUUUGCUUUCUGCCAACAACAAACAUCUGAAAACUAAGCAUCUAAGAAUUAAAAAUAAAAAUAACUGGAUUUAAUUCAUUGCUUUGCAGAUUAACUGAGUUUAAAAAUAGUAACACCUGAAUUACAGAGAAAACCUGAAUUUCAUGUACCGGGGGAGUGUUUAGAUUAGUACAACCAUUUUUCGUUGUCUUAUUGUUAAUUGCUCCUUUUCCAUGGUAGUAUAUUCUUGUUUAUUGCCACAAUACCCCUCAAAUAUAACGGAAAACAAAACUAGAAAAUUUCAGUUACCUCUCCUGUUUCUUGCGUUAUUUCUCCUCAUUGAGUACCAUUUGCACAGCUUGUUCACCUUACUCUCCUUUUUGAGCUGCUGAUUUUCUUUUUAUAGCUAGUGAUUUUUAUUUGUAUAGAUAGAUCUUCAUUAGUAGAAUUGAUGUCUCUUUUAGGUUUCUUCAGCAGAUUGGUAAGUCUGGUUGAAGGGAUUCCUCAGCAGAACUUGGCUGGGGAACUGAACUUUUAUGACUUAAUAUGAUCAAUUUGUAAAAUAGAAGUUCAGUCCUUUUCCAUACAUCACAAUGGUCAAAAAGUCAUUCCUUCUUAUUUUAUACUUUUUUUUAUAAUAUAUGUAAGAUAAAGUAGUUUGAGUUCAUAGCCUUCUGAUGGUAAAAGUUUAAGAAUACUACUUAAAAGAGUUGAAAAAGAUAUAGCUUACAAAUAAUUUUCCAUAAACAUCAUUUCUCUUAGUGGGUUUCUUUAAAGGUAAUUACCCACAAGAG
This 4808-nucleotide long non-coding RNA is filed under the name Sus scrofa (pig). RNAcentral's name for it is "lncRNA (ENSSSCG00015029380.1)". Lineage: Eukaryota; Metazoa; Chordata; Mammalia; Artiodactyla; Suidae. The record is from RNAcentral.